RNAcentral lists this ribosomal RNA (730 nucleotides) under uncultured Lactobacillus sp. Its description in RNAcentral is "bacterial SSU rRNA". It matches the Rfam family "Bacterial small subunit ribosomal RNA", at positions 771 to 1501 of the family's 1533-position model. The record is from RNAcentral. Lineage: Bacteria; Bacillati; Bacillota; Bacilli; Lactobacillales; Lactobacillaceae.
AACAGGAUUAGAUACCCGGGUAGUCCAUGCCGUAAACGAUGAGUGCUAAGUGUUGGAGGGUUUCCGCCCUUCAGUGCUGCAGCUAACGCAUUAAGCACUCCGCCUGGGGAAUACGACCGCAAGGUUGAAACUCAAAGGAAUUGACGGGGGCCCGCACAAGCGGUGGAGCAUGUGGUUUAAUUCGAUGCUACGCGAAGAACCUUACCAGGUCUUGACAUCUUCUGCUAACCUAAGAGAUUAGGCGUUCCCUUCGGGGACGGAAUGACAGGUGGUGCAUGGUUGUCGUCAGCUCGUGUCGUGAGAUGUUGGGUUAAGUCCCGCAACGAGCGCAACCCUUAUUGUCAGUUGCCAGCAUUUAGUUGGGCACUCUGGCGAGACUGCCGGUGACAAACCGGAGGAAGGUGGGGAUGACGUCAAAUCAUCAUGCCCCUUAUGACCUGGGCUACACACGUGCUACAAUGGACGGUACAACGAGUCGCGAAACCGCGAGGUCAAGCUAAUCUCUUAAAGCCGUUCUCAGUUCGGAUUGCAGGCUGCAACUCGCCUGCAUGAAGUUGGAAUCGCUAGUAAUCGUGGAUCAGCAUGCCACGGUGAAUACGUUCCCGGGCCUUGUACACACCGCCCGUCACACCAUGAGAGUUUGUAACACCCAAAGCCGGUGAGGUAGCCUUCGGGAACCAGCCGUCUAAGGUGGGACAGAUGAUUAGGGUGAAGUCGUAACAAGGUAACC